GGGUAGCACAGAAGAGCUUGCUCUCGGGGUGACGAGUGGCGGACGGGUGAGUAAUGUCUGGGAAACUGCCUGAUGGAGGGGGAUAACUACUGGAAACGGUAGCUAAUACCGCAUAAUGUCGCAAGACCAAAGAGGGGGACCUUCGGGCCUCUUGCCAUCAGAUGUGCCCAGAUGGGAUUAGCUAGUAGGUGGGGUAACGGCUCACCUAGGCGACGAUCCCUAGCUGGUCUGAGAGGAUGACCAGCCACACUGGAACUGAGACACGGUCCAGACUCCUACGGGAGGCAGCAGUGGGGAAUAUUGCACAAUGGGCGCAAGCCUGAUGCAGCCAUGCCGCGUGUAUGAAGAAGGCCUUCGGGUUGUAAAGUACUUUCAGCGGGGAGGAAGGUGUUGUGGUUAAUAACCACAGCAAUUGACGUUACCCGCAGAAGAAGCACCGGCUAACUCCGUGCCAGCAGCCGCGGUAAUACGGAGGGUGCAAGCGUUAAUCGGAAUUACUGGGCGUAAAGCGCACGCAGGCGGUCUGUCAAGUCGGAUGUGAAAUCCCCGGGCUCAACCUGGGAACUGCAUUCGAAACUGGCAGGCUGGAGUCUUGUAGAGGGGGGUAGAAUUCCAGGUGUAGCGGUGAAAUGCGUAUAGAUCUGGAGGAAUACCGGUGGCAAAGGCGG
Molecule: ribosomal RNA, 668 nt
Filed under: Enterobacter cloacae subsp. dissolvens
Lineage: Bacteria; Pseudomonadati; Pseudomonadota; Gammaproteobacteria; Enterobacterales; Enterobacteriaceae
Description: bacterial SSU rRNA
Rfam family: Bacterial small subunit ribosomal RNA
Source: RNAcentral